UACGUAGGAGGCAAGCGUUGUCCGGAAUCACUGGGCGUAAAGCGCGUGUAGGCGGUGGGGCAAGUCUGCGGUGAAAGCGCCCGGCUUAACUGGGCGAGGUCCGUGGAAACUGCUCGACUGGAGGACGGUAGAGGGGGGUGGAAUUCCCGGUGUAGUGGUGAAAUGCGUAGAGAUCGGGAGGAACACCAGUGGCGAAGGCGGCCCCCUGGGCCGCUCCUGACGCUGAGACGCGAAGGCGCGGGGAGCGAACGGG
Molecule: ribosomal RNA, 253 nt
Filed under: uncultured bacterium
Lineage: Bacteria
Description: partial 16S ribosomal RNA
Rfam family: Bacterial small subunit ribosomal RNA
Source: RNAcentral